RNAcentral lists this ribosomal RNA (389 nucleotides) under Dinophyceae sp. Its description in RNAcentral is "partial small subunit ribosomal RNA". It matches the Rfam family "Eukaryotic small subunit ribosomal RNA", at positions 582 to 975 of the family's 1831-position model. Lineage: Eukaryota; Dinophyceae. The record is from RNAcentral.
AUUCCAGCUCCAAUAGCGUAUAUUAAAGUUGUUGCGGUUAAAAAGCUCGUAGUUGGAUUUCUGUUGAGGACGACCGGUCCGCCCUCUGGGUGAGCAUCUGGCUCGGCCUUGGCAUCUUCUUGGUGAACGUAGCUGCACUUGACUGUGUGGUACGGUAACCAGGACUUUUACUUUGAGGAAAUUAGAGUGUUUCAAGCAGGCAUACGCCUUGAAUACAUUAGCAUGGAAUAAUAAGAUAGGACCUCGGUUCUAUUUUGUUGGUUUCUAGAGCUGAGGUAAUGAUUAAUAGGGAUAGUUGGGGGCAUUCGUAUUUAACUGUCAGAGGUGAAAUUCUUGGAUUUGUUAAAGACGAACUACUGCGAAAGCAUUUGCCAAGGAUGUUUUCAUCA